This 468-nucleotide ribosomal RNA is filed under the name uncultured bacterium. RNAcentral's name for it is "partial 16S ribosomal RNA". It matches the Rfam family "Bacterial small subunit ribosomal RNA", at positions 28 to 507 of the family's 1533-position model. The record is from RNAcentral.
GACGAACGCUGGCGGCGUGCUUAACACAUGCAAGUCGAACGGAAAGGCCCUGCUUUUGUGGGGUGCUCGAGUGGCGAACGGGUGAGUAACACGUGAGUAACCUGCCCUUGACUUUGGGAUAACUUCAGGAAACUGGGGCUAAUACCGGAUAGGAGCUCCUGCUGCAUGGUGGGGGUUGGAAAGUUUCGGCGGUUGGGGAUGGACUCGCGGCUUAUCAGCUUGUUGGUGGGGUAGUGGCUUACCAAGGCUUUGACGGGUAGCCGGCCUGAGAGGGUGACCGGCCACAUUGGGACUGUGAUACGGCCCAGACUCCUACGCGAGGCAGAAGUGUGGAAUAUUGCACACUGGGCGGAAGCCUCAGGCAGAGACGCCGCGUGCGCGAUGUCGGCCUUCGGGUUGUAAACCGCUUUCGCCUGUGACGCAGCGUGAGUGACGGUAAUGGGUAAAGAAGCACCGGCUAACUACGUG